AAAUUGAAGAGUUUGAUCAUGGCUCAGAUUGAACGCUGGCGGCAGGCCUAACACAUGCAAGUCGAACGGUAACAGGAAGCAGCUUGCUGCUUUGCUGACGAGUGGCGGACGGGUGAGUAAUGUCUGGGAAACUGCCUGGUGGAGGGGGAUAACUACUGGAAACGGUAGCUAAUACCGCAUAACGUCGCAAGACCAAAGAGGGGGACCUUCGGGCCUCUUGCCAUCGGAUGUGCCCAGAUGGGAUUAGCUAGUAGGUGGGGUAACGGCUCACCUAGGCGACGAUCCCUAGCUGGUCUGAGAGGAUGACCAG
Molecule: ribosomal RNA, 310 nt
Filed under: Escherichia coli
Lineage: Bacteria; Pseudomonadati; Pseudomonadota; Gammaproteobacteria; Enterobacterales; Enterobacteriaceae
Description: bacterial SSU rRNA
Rfam family: Bacterial small subunit ribosomal RNA
Source: RNAcentral